GGGUUGUGAGGUUAAGCGACUAAGCGUACACGGUGGAUGCCCUGGCAGUCAGAGGCGAUGAAGGACGUGCUAAUCUGCGAAAAGCGCCGGCGAGGUGAUAUGAACCUUUGACCCGGCGAUGUCCGAAUGGGGAAACCCAGUGCAAUCCGUUGCACUAUCGUUAACUGAAUACAUAGGUUAACGAGGCGAACCGGGGGAACUGAAACAUCUAAGUACCCCGAGGAAAAGAAAUCAACCGAGAUUCCCCCAGUAGCGGCGAGCGAACGGGGAGCAGCCCGGAGUCUGAAUCAGCUUGUGUGUUAGUGGAACGGUCUGGAAAGUCCGACGGUACAGGGUGAUAGUCCCGUACACGAAAGCACACAUGCUGUGAACUCGAAGAGUAGGGCGGGACACGUGGUAUCCUGUCUGAAUAUGGGGGGACCAUCCUCCAAGGCUAAAUACUCCUGACUGACCGAUAGUGAACCAGUACCGUGAGGGAAAGGCGAAAAGAACCCCGGCGAGGGGAGUGAAAAAGAACCUGAAACCGUGUACGUACAAGCAGUGGGAGCCUCUUUAUGGGGUGACUGCGUACCUUUUGUAUAAUGGGUCAGCGACUUAUAUUCUGUAGCAAGGUUAACCGUAUAGGGGAGCCGAAGGGAAACCGAGUCUUAACUGGGCGUUAAGUUGCAGGGUAUAGACCCGAAACCCGGUGAUCUAGCCAUGGGCAGGUUGAAGGUUGGGUAACACUAACUGGAGGACCGAACCGACUAAUGUUGAAAAAUUAGCGGAUGACCUGUGGCUGGGGGUGAAAGGCCAAUCAAACCGGGAGAUAGCUGGUUCUCCCCGAAAGCUAUUUAGGUAGCGCCUCGUGAACUCAUCUUCGGGGGUAGAGCACUGUUUCGGCUAGGGGGCCAUCCCGGCUUACCAACCCGAUGCAAACUACGAAUACCGAAGAAUGUUAUCACGGGAGACACACGGCGGGUGCUAACGUCCGUCGUGAAGAGGGAAACAACCCAGACCGCCAGCUAAGGUCCCAAAGUCAUGGUUAAGUGGGAAACGAUGUGGGAAGGCACAGACAGCCAGGAUGUUGGCUUAGAAGCAGCCAUCAUUUAAAGAAAGCGUAAUAGCUCACUGGUCGAGUCGGCCUGCGCGGAAGAUGUAACGGGGCUAAACCAUGCACCGAAGCUGCGGCAGCGACGCUUAGGCGUUGUUGGGUAGGGGAGCGUUCUGUAAGCCGUUGAAGGUGUCCUGUGAGGGGUGCUGGAGGUAUCAGAAGUGCGAAUGCUGACAUAAGUAACGAUAAAGCGGGUGAAAAGCCCGCUCGCCGGAAGACCAAGGGUUCCUGUCCAACGUUAAUCGGGGCAGGGUGAGUCGACCCCUAAGGCGAGGCCGAAAGGCGUAGUCGAUGGGAAACAGGUUAAUAUUCCUGUACUUGGUGUUACUGCGAAGGGGGGACGGAGAAGGCUAUGUCAGCCGGGCGACGGUUGUCCCGGUUUAAGCAUGUAGGCGGAGGUUCCAGGUAAAUCCGGUACCUUGUUAACGCUGAGGUGUGAUGACGAGGCACUACGGUGCUGAAGUGAUAAAUGCCCUGCUUCCAGGAAAAGCCUCUAAGCAUCAGGUAACACGAAAUCGUACCCCAAACCGACACAGGUGGUCAGGUAGAGAAUACCAAGGCGCUUGAGAGAACUCGGGUGAAGGAACUAGGCAAAAUGGUGCCGUAACUUCGGGAGAAGGCACGCUGAUAUGUAGGUGAAGCCCCUGCGGGCGGAGCUGAAAUCAGUCGAAGAUACCAGCUGGCUGCAACUGUUUAUUAAAAACACAGCACUGUGCAAACACGAAAGUGGACGUAUACGGUGUGACGCCUGCCCGGUGCCGGAAGGUUAAUUGAUGGGGUUAGCGGCAACGCGAAGCUCUUGAUCGAAGCCCCGGUAAACGGCGGCCGUAACUAUAACGGUCCUAAGGUAGCGAAAUUCCUUGUCGGGUAAGUUCCGACCUGCACGAAUGGCGUAAUGAUGGCCAGGCUGUCUCCACCCGAGACUCAGUGAAAUUGAACUCGCUGUGAAGAUGCAGUGUACCCGCGGCAAGACGGAAAGACCCCGUGAACCUUUACUAUAGCUUGACACUGAACACUGGUCCUUGAUGUGUAGGAUAGGUGGGAGGCUUUGAAGCGUGGACGCCAGUCUGCGUGGAGCCAACCUUGAAAUACCACCCUUUAAUGGCUGGUGUUCUAACGUAGACCCGUAAUCCGGGUUGCGGACAGUGUCUGGUGGGUAGUUUGACUGGGGCGGUCUCCUCCCAAAGAGUAACGGAGGAGCACGAAGGUUGGCUAAUCCUGGUCGGACAUCAGGAGGUUAGUGCAAUGGCAUAAGCCAGCUUGACUGCGAGCGUGACGGCGCGAGCAGGUGCGAAAGCAGGUCAUAGUGAUCCGGUGGUUCUGAAUGGAAGGGCCAUCGCUCAACGGAUAAAAGGUACUCCGGGGAUAACAGGCUGAUACCGCCCAAGAGUUCAUAUCGACGGCGGUGUUUGGCACCUCGAUGUCGGCUCAUCACAUCCUGGGGCUGAAGUAGGUCCCAAGGGUAUGGCUGUUCGCCAUUUAAAGUGGUACGCGAGCUGGGUUUAGAACGUCGUGAGACAGUUCGGUCCCUAUCUGCCGUGGGCGCUGGAGAAUUGAGGGGGGCUGCUCCUAGUACGAGAGGACCGGAGUGGACGCAUCACUGGUGUUCGGGUUGUCAUGCCAAUGGCACUGCCCGGUAGCUAAAUGCGGAAGAGAUAAGUGCUGAAAGCAUCUAAGCACGAAACUUGCCCCGAGAUGAGUUCUCCCUGAGACUUUAAGUCUCCUGAAGGAACGUUGAAGACGACGACGUUGAUAGGUCGGGUGUGUAAGCGCAGCGAUGCGUUGAGCUAACCGAUACUAAUGAACCGUGAGGCUUAACCUUACAACGCCGAAGCUGUU
RNAcentral lists this ribosomal RNA (2932 nucleotides) under Enterobacter hormaechei. RNAcentral describes it as "23S ribosomal RNA". It matches the Rfam family "Bacterial large subunit ribosomal RNA". The record is from RNAcentral. Lineage: Bacteria; Pseudomonadati; Pseudomonadota; Gammaproteobacteria; Enterobacterales; Enterobacteriaceae.